UGAACGCGGCACUCAGCGCCAUGGUGUGGUUGACAUGGUGGUGCUUGGUCAUGGGCUGGACUCUAUGAUCUCAGAGAUAUUUUCCAACCUAAUCGAUUCUGUCAUUCUGUAAAGCCAUUCCUUUGCCUCACCUGGUCAAAGGCUUUUUCUCAAAAUCCCUUCUCACAAAGGUGCAGUUUUUCCAGUUUGACAGGAGAUUUUAAAAGACACCUAUAAGGCUCAACCCUAUGCACACAAAAUUCCUUAUAAGUCCCACUGCCAGGCCAAGUUGGAGUCCCAGUAUCCCAGCCCUGCACAAGCAGGACUGCACCAAACUGAACAGCUGCUGCUCACAUUCUCCGUCUGAUGCUGUAUGGAAUGCUGUGUGACAGUGUCCAGGAAGGAGAAGGUGGAGGAAGGAGAUCCUUAAGGACUAAAGAGCUGUAUCAUGGUGACCUGUUUCUGUUUGCCUGCUUCUACCUAAUGAGUUCUUUGUGAGCAUGAGAUAAUGAAGAGUUCAUCAAAAAACAACCCCAAGUAAACCACCUUUUAUUCAGUUCCAAUAUGUGCUUGGAAAUAAAUGGCAGAAUGGGAUGUCUUGCUGCACAGUCCCUGUUUUUAGCAGAGGCUUUUGCAGCAUGUUGCUGCUGAUGGAUUUGUGCACUCAUCACCGUUAAAGCUUGAGGCU
Molecule: long non-coding RNA, 667 nt
Organism: Passer domesticus (house sparrow)
Lineage: Eukaryota; Metazoa; Chordata; Aves; Passeriformes; Passeridae
Exons: 5
Source: RefSeq, a predicted model, not a curated record